RNAcentral lists this ribosomal RNA (253 nucleotides) under uncultured bacterium. Its description in RNAcentral is "partial 16S ribosomal RNA". It matches the Rfam family "Bacterial small subunit ribosomal RNA", at positions 524 to 776 of the family's 1533-position model. The record is from RNAcentral.
UACGUAGGGGGCUAGCGUUGUCCGGAAUCAUUGGGCGUAAAGCGCGUGUAGGCGGUCCGGUAAGUCCGCUGUGAAAGUCGGGGGCUCAACCCUCGAAUGCCGGUGGAUACUGUCGGGCUAGAGUGCAGAAGAGGCGAGUGGAAUUCCUGGUGUAGCGGUGAAAUGCGCAGAUAUCAGGAGGAACACCUAUUGCGAAGGCAGCUCGCUGGGACGUAACUGACGCUGAGACGCGAAAGCGUGGGGAGCAAACAGG